This 838-nucleotide ribosomal RNA is filed under the name uncultured fungus. Its description in RNAcentral is "eukaryotic LSU rRNA". It matches the Rfam family "Eukaryotic large subunit ribosomal RNA", at positions 123 to 821 of the family's 3401-position model. The record is from RNAcentral. Lineage: Eukaryota; Fungi.
UGGCUGGUUUACUAGUCCGAAUUGUAGUUUAAAGAAGCGUUUUCGGUGGCAGCCUGGGUAUAAAUCCUUUGGAAUAGGGUAUCAUAGAGGGUGAGAAUCCCGUCUUUGACUCAGUGAAUGCUACUAUGUGAUACGUUUUCAAAGAGUCGAGUUGUUUGGGAAUGCAGCUCAAAAUGGGUGGUAAAUUUCAUCUAAAGCUAAAUAUUGGCGAGAGACCGAUAGCGAACAAGUACCGUGAGGGAAAGAUGAAAAGAACUUUGAAAAGAGAGUUAAACAGUACGUGAAAUUGUUGAAAGGGAAACGUUUGACACCAGUCAUGCGGGUGGAAAAUCAGUCUUUUAGAGUAGGGAGUGGUGGGGGUUCGGACCGCAAGGCUGGCCUUUAUCUCAUCUCUGCGCUAAUGGAUGCACUUUUUCAUUUGCAGGUCAACAUCAGUUUCUUCUGCUGGACAAAACUCCGAGAGAAGGUAGCAGCUUAGGCUGUGUUAUAGCUCUGGAGCGAUACAGUGGAGGGGACUGAGGUUUUCGCAGUGUGUGCUUUCGGGCAAGGUUGAUUGGGUGCUAUGUGAUCGUUCGGUGUACAAUGCAUGCAUUUUGCGCUGUGUCUUUUGCAUACUCGCCUGACUCGACUCUUCCACGCUUAGGAUGUUGACUUAAUGGUUUUAAACGACCCGUCUUGAAACACGGACCAAGGAGUCUAACAUAUAUGCAAGUGUUUGGGUGGCAAACCCAUACGCGUAAUGAAAGUGAACGUAGGUGCGAUCCGCAAGGUGCAGCAUCGACCGAUCUUGAUAUUUUUGGAUAGAUUUGAGUAAGAGCAUAUAUGCUGGGACCCGAAA